This 253-nucleotide ribosomal RNA is filed under the name uncultured bacterium. RNAcentral's name for it is "partial 16S ribosomal RNA". It matches the Rfam family "Bacterial small subunit ribosomal RNA", at positions 524 to 776 of the family's 1533-position model. The record is from RNAcentral.
UACGUAGGUGGCAAGCGUUGUCCGGAUUUACUGGGCGUAAAGGGAGCGUAGGCGGACUUUUAAGUGAGAUGUGAAAUACUCGGGCUCAACUUGAGUGCUGCAUUUCAAACUGGAAGUCUAGAGUGCAGGAGAGGAGAAUGGAGUUCCUAGUGUAGCGGUGAAAUGCGUAGAGAUUAGGAAGAACACCAGUGGCGAAGGCGAUUCUCUGGACUGUAACUGACGCUGAGGCUCGAAAGCGUGGGGAGCAAACAGG